UGGUAUUGCUGAUCGGAUGAGCAAAGAAAUCACAGCCCUCGCUCCGAGCAGCAUGAAGAUCAAGGUUGUUGCUCCUCCAGAAAGGAAGUACAGUGUUUGGAUUGGAGGUUCCAUCCUAGCAUCCCUCAGUACCUUCCAACAGAUGUGGAUAACAAAGGCUGAAUAUGACGAGUCGGGUCCAGCUAUAGUUCACAGGAAAUGCUUCUGAAGAAGAGUUCCAAUACUAAAUCAACAAUUUUCUUUUACGUCCAUCUUGUGUCAUAUGUUAAGAGUAAAGUUUGGUUAGUUCUUGAUUUUGAAGAUUUGUUUAUAUUGUCAAAAGAGAGAUUGGUAAGCUGGAUUCUUGAAGUUGUAAGUUUGAA
This 362-nucleotide unclassified non-coding RNA is filed under the name Hevea brasiliensis (rubber tree). Lineage: Eukaryota; Viridiplantae; Streptophyta; Magnoliopsida; Malpighiales; Euphorbiaceae. The record is from RNAcentral.